AAUAAGUGCAGUUUUGCACUAUUCAUGUUCAACGUUUGACCGUCCGUCUUAUUUGAAAAUUUUUUAUGAUUAGUAUUUUUAUUGCUAUUAGAUGAUAAAACAUGAAUAGUACUUUAUGUGUGACUAAAUGUUUUUAAUUUUUUCACAAAUUUUUCAAAUAAGACGGACGGUCAAACGUUGAACGUAAAUAGUGCAAAACUGCACUUAUU
This is a microRNA precursor of Oryza sativa Indica Group (long-grained rice), 209 nucleotides long. It matches the Rfam family "MIR812 microRNA precursor family". The record is from Rfam. NCBI's taxonomy places the organism in Eukaryota, Viridiplantae, Streptophyta, Magnoliopsida, Poales, Poaceae.